UACGUAGGGUGCAGGCGUUAAUCGGAAUUACUGGGCGUAAAGCGUGCGCAGGCGGUCUUUUAAGUCAGAUGUGAAAUCCCCGGGCUUAACCUGGGAACUGCGUUUGAAACUGGAAGGCUAGAGUGUGGCAGAGGGGGGUGGAAUUCCACGUGUAGCAGUGAAAUGCGUAGAGAUGUGGAGGAACACCGAUGGCGAAGGCAGCCUCCUGGGCCAACACUGACGCUCAUGCACGGAAGCGUGGGGAGCAAACAGG
Molecule: ribosomal RNA, 253 nt
Filed under: uncultured bacterium
Lineage: Bacteria
Description: partial 16S ribosomal RNA
Rfam family: Bacterial small subunit ribosomal RNA
Source: RNAcentral